GAUUGAACGCUGGCGGUAUGCUUAACACAUGCAAGUCGAACGGAAACGAUACUAGCUUGCUAGUAGGCGUCGAGUGGCGGACGGGUGAGUAACGCGUAGGAAUCUGCCUGAUAGUGGGGGAUAGCCCGAAGAAAUUCGGAUUAAUACCGCAUAAUCUAUUCGUAGUAAAGUGGGGGACUUUCGAGCCUCACGCUAUCAGAUGAGCCUGCGUAAGAUUAGCUAGUUGGUAGAGUAAAAGCCUACCAAGGCAACGAUCUUUAGCUGGUCUGAGAGGAUGAUCAGCCACAUCGGGACUGAGACACGGCCCGAACUCCUACGGGAGGCAGCAGUGGGGAAUAUUGGACAAUGGGGGCAACCCUGAUCCAGCAAUACCGCGUGUGUGAAGAAGGCCUGAGGGUUGUAAAGCACUUUCAAUUGUGAAGAAAAGUUAACGGUUAAUAACCGUUAGCCUUGACGUUAACUUUAGAAGAAGCACCGGCUAACUCCGUGCCAGCAGUCGCGGUAAUACGGAGGGUGCAAGCGUUAAUCGGAAUUACUGGGCGUAAAGCGUGCGUAGGCGGUUUAUUAAGUCAGAUGUGAAAGCCCCGGGCUUAACCUGGGAACUGCAUUUGAAACUGGUCAACUAGAGUAUGGUAGAGGAAAGUGGAAUUUCUGGUGUAGCGGUGAAAUGCGUAGAUAUCAGAAGGAACAUCAAUGGCGAAGGCAGCUUUCUGGACCAAUACUGACACUGAGGUACGAAAGCGUGGGUAGCAAACAGGAUUAGAUACCCUGGUAGUCCACGCCGUAAACGAUGAUAACUAGCCGUUGGGGGGAUUUACCCUUUAGUGGCGAAGCUAACGCGUUAAGUUAUCCGCCUGGGGAGUACGGCCGCAAGGUUAAAACUCAAAGGAAUUGACGGGGACCCGCACAAGCGGUGGAGCAUGUGGUUUAAUUCGAUGCAACGCGAAGAACCUUACCUGGUCUUGACAUCCUGCGAACUUUCUAGAAAUAGAUUGGUGCCUUCGGGAACGCAGUGACAGGUGCUGCAUGGCUGUCGUCAGCUCGUGUCGUGAGAUGUUGGGUUAAGUCCCGUAACGAGCGCAACCCCUAUCCUUAUUUGCCAGCACAUCAUGGUGGGAACUAUAAGGAGACUGCCGGUGAUAAACCGGAGGAAGGCGGGGACGACGUCAAGUCAUCAUGGCCCUUACGACCAGGGCUACACACGUGCUACAAUGGGAAGGACAAAGAGCCGCGAAGCCGCGAGGUGUAGCUAAUCUCAUAAACCUUUUCGUAGUCCGGAUUGGAGUCUGCAACUCGACUCCAUGAAGUCGGAAUCGCUAGUAAUCGUAGAUCAGAAUGCUACGGUGAAUACGUUCCCGGGUCUUGUACACACCGCC
RNAcentral lists this ribosomal RNA (1376 nucleotides) under uncultured bacterium. RNAcentral's name for it is "bacterial SSU rRNA". It matches the Rfam family "Bacterial small subunit ribosomal RNA", at positions 27 to 1394 of the family's 1533-position model. The record is from RNAcentral.